GAUUUGGUUUCCAUACAUUAACCCACAUUCUGAGAGCAACAGCUCUUCCUGAAAUAUGUCAAGGCCAACCACAUGGCUAAUCAGUGAUAAAGAACGACUUAUACUCCUUAAGUCUGCUUUUAUGGACUACUAUCGGGGCACAAAGAUUGAAGAACCAUGGCCAGACUUAUGUGAAAGACUGACUUCAGUUAUGAGCGACAUCAGUUCUACCACUAUUAGAGGACCACCUAAGAGAAGAGACAUCCCUAUUCUGCUUGGGAAUGGGCACAUAGCCUGGAGAUCUGGAAGCUGUUAUUGGCUUCUGAGGAGUUAG
Molecule: long non-coding RNA, 313 nt
Filed under: Cyanistes caeruleus (blue tit)
Lineage: Eukaryota; Metazoa; Chordata; Aves; Passeriformes; Paridae
Description: lncRNA (ENSCCEG00000014108.1)
Source: RNAcentral